This is a long non-coding RNA of Nerophis lumbriciformis (worm pipefish), 766 nucleotides long. RefSeq lists it as uncharacterized. NCBI's taxonomy places the organism in Eukaryota, Metazoa, Chordata, Actinopteri, Syngnathiformes, Syngnathidae. The record is from RefSeq and is a predicted model, not a curated record.
AUUUUUUUCUAUAAACUCUCAAAAUUAUGUCACUUUUCAGUUGUUUGAAGCACCUGGGCCAGCUGCUUCCUGGUGUCAUUCCACUCCCCUCCUCCAGAGGCGAUAGUGAGGCAAACAUCAAAGUUGUUUGAAGCACCUGGGCCAGCUGCUUCCUGGUGUCAUUCCACUCCCCUCCUCCAGAGGCGAUAGUGAGGCAAACAUCAAAGUUGUUUGAAGCACCUGGACCAGCUGCUUCCUGGUGUCAUUCCACUCCCCUCCUCCAGAGGCGAUAGUGAGGCAAACAUCAAAGAGCCAUUUCCCUGGGACACUUGUUUGUCGCCGCAGAGGCCCCACCUGUGCCCACGCAAUGCUGAUUAGCGCGUGGAAAACGCGCGCGGUGACGAGCGGUCUGCGGUCCCGUGGCAUCACGAGGCCUCCUUGUGAAGAAUAAACACACAAAUGCAUCAUCCCUGACAUUCUGUGGAACAUGUACCUUCUAAUCUUCUGUUGGGAAAACAAAAAGCCUUCCUUUGUUCCUAGGAUGGAGUGUGUCAUGUUGUACAGUAUUCAUAAUAAAAUGACACCUGCCAAGGGACUGCAGUUAAAAAUCAACACUUUUGCCCAAAUAUUUAUCAAAUGAUGUGCCUUUUUAAUCAAAUAUCUGCCCCUGCUUCUUUUAAAAUGACACUUUACUAUGAAAUCAUUUAUGGAUUUUUCUUCGCAUAAAAAAACCAAGUAAAAAUAUUGACAGGAUGUUUUAUUGUUUGUGCUAUGGCGAUGAGGUGGC